GGCGGGAGAAACGCGUGGGGGGGCGCGGGACGGGAGCGGAGAGGCGCGCGUGAGUUGGGGUCGGAUCCGGGGAGCGACGGAGGGGUCGGAAGUGAGUGGGGGGGGAGACAUGGCUCAGGAAGCUCCCGCUAAGGCGAAACGCCGCAGGGGGAGGGAUGGGGUAUCGGUGGGGGGGGGCUUUCCAAGCCCUGACGUGGGGGCGUGUAGGCCGAUUAAACACUCCGGCUUGGGGGGGGGGGGCCGCGCGGGUGAUACUUCACAGGGGAGUGGCGGGGAGGCGCCCGCAGGGGGGGGGCAGGUGGGUGGAUUGGGAAGCGAAGGCGAAGAGCCCGAACAGGUAUUGACAUGUAUCGCAUAGCCAGAAAAUAGGUGACUCCCCUCGGGGCAAGAGACCAGGGGGGGGAUGGUUGUCGUCAGCCCGCGUCGGGAGAGAUUGGUUUAAUUCCCGCCACGAGCGCGACCCUCAUCAUUAGUUGCCAGCAUUCAGUGGGGGACUCUAAUGAGACUGCCGGCGACAAACCGGAGGAAGGGGGGGGGGACGUCUCAUCAUCAUGCCCCCUCCUAUCCUGGGCGACACACAUGCUACAAUGGAUGGUACAACGACCAUCCACCCCACGAGGGCGAGCGAAUCUCUCUAAGCCACUCUCACUUCGUAUGGUUGUGUGCAACUCAUCCGGGCGAAGCCGGCCUUGUUAGUUAUUUUGGAUCAGCACACCACGGGGAGAAAAUCUCCGGUAAUUGUACACAGGGCCCCCCAUGAGGGAUAUUUUUUUACACACACCGGUGGCCCCCUUUAGGGGGUUAUAUGGGGUGUGUCC
This 818-nucleotide ribosomal RNA is filed under the name uncultured bacterium. RNAcentral's name for it is "partial 16S ribosomal RNA". The stretch from base 282 to 735 matches the Rfam family "Bacterial small subunit ribosomal RNA", at positions 921 to 1377 of the family's 1533-position model. The record is from RNAcentral.